This is a small nuclear RNA of Onychomys torridus (southern grasshopper mouse), 102 nucleotides long. The record is from RefSeq and is a predicted model, not a curated record. Lineage: Eukaryota; Metazoa; Chordata; Mammalia; Rodentia; Cricetidae.
GUACUGACUUCGGCAGCACAUAUACUAAAAUUGGAAUGAUAUAGAGAAGAUUAGCAUGGCCCCAAGGAUGACACGCAAAUUCAUGAAGUGUUCCAUUAAAAA